GACGAACGCUGGCGGCGUGCUUAACACAUGCAAGUCGAACGGAAAGGCCCUGCUUGCUGGGUGCUCGAGUGGCGAACGGGUGAGUAACACGUGGGUGAUCUGCCCCUUACUUUGGGAUAAGCCUGGGAAACUGGGACUAAUACCGGAUAGGACAAUGCUGUAGGUGGUGUGGUGGAAAGAUUAGUUUCGGUAAGGGAUGAGCUCGCGGCCUAUCAGCUUGUUGGUGGGGUAGUGGCCUACCAAGGCGUCGACGGGUAGCCGGCCUGAGGGGGUGGGCGGCCACGUUGGGACUCCGAUACGGCGCAGCCGCCUACGGUAGGCAGCAGUGGGGAAUAGUGCAAUAUGGGCGCACGGCGGAUGCAGCGACGCCGCGUGGGGGGUGAAGGCCUUCGGGUUGUAAACUCCUUUCGGCCAUGACGAAGCCCUUGUGGUGACGGUAGUGGUAGAAGAAGCACCGGCUAACUACGUG
This 469-nucleotide ribosomal RNA is filed under the name uncultured bacterium. RNAcentral describes it as "partial 16S ribosomal RNA". It matches the Rfam family "Bacterial small subunit ribosomal RNA", at positions 28 to 507 of the family's 1533-position model. The record is from RNAcentral.